Long non-coding RNA from Ictalurus punctatus (channel catfish), 2126 nucleotides. Lineage: Eukaryota; Metazoa; Chordata; Actinopteri; Siluriformes; Ictaluridae. The record is from Ensembl.
CUGUGUAAAUAUAGCAGGGUUAAACUGGGACUUCAUGUUAAAGAGAAACAUGUUUUCAAGAGCGUGGUGUAAUGUGUGUGAAGCUCGUCCUUGUAGGUUCUUGUGUGUCUCUAUAAGCCGAGUGUUUGGAGGAGUUCAUAGAAUCUAUCACCUUGGCAGAGCAUCAUUAUUGUAGGACGUAGUUCACAAAAUACACGGUAGGUGGCGGUAAUGAUCCUAGGAGUGAACGGCCAUUAACAAGAAGAAGAAGAAGUUGUUGUUGUUUACCGCUUUUUGAAUCAGAGCUGCAGGAUUAUCGAGUGUGUGAGGUAAGUUUAUCUUUUCUCUUUUAGUUUAGUGUAACAAGGGCGUAUCCACGGUAUGGACAUUAGGGGUCCAAUCCCCAACAUCCAGAGUCUGAUACUGAAAAUUCUCACAUGUAGAAGAUAGUUUUAGGAUUACAGUUACGGUUUGAAUUCAGGUGAUGUCUGAGAUAAGGUGUGUUCAGGAAAACCCCACACACUAACAUUUAAACACACAAUCACGACUUUUAAACACACUCAGAAAGGAUGGCUACCUAUGGAACGAAAUUCAACACUAUACAUGUAAUAAAUACAAUUUCCCCACGGAUGAUUCCGAGCAAAGGCGUUCAAAGGGAAAAACAUUUUAGGAAAUUUUCUGAGAAUAUGAUAAAGAUGGAGAAUCUUUACAGACACGUGCAAGCAGGCUACUUCCGGUUCAUCUCUUACAAAGUAGUGAAAACGCUAUGAACAUAAGAAAUGGUUCAUUUACUCAAAUAUUCUUCUAUUUCAACAAGAUCCACUAGAUGGUGCUAAAAUGCAAGAAAUCGCACCUGCCGAAUAGAAUGAUGCAUUUUCCAGAAGUAGCAAAUAGAAUAACUUCUAAUGGGUACAAAUUACAUAUCCAAAAUAUGUUUAUGUAAACCAUGUGACUAUAAUCAAUGCUGUACUUGAACAUAUGACAGAUUAUUCCUUUAUCAAAAAAAAAAUCUGUGUGUGUGCGUGUCUCAAUUCCACACAGACACGCACACACACACACUUUAGCUUUUUUUAUUUAGUAUUAAAUUAAAUACACAAUCAUGUCUUCAUUUGAUUGAAGUUGGUUCUGUUGCGUUCUCACUCUUAACCCUUAUUUUGACUGGACUUUCUCUUCACUCUAUUCUUCAACAUUCCCCCACUUUUCAGCCUUUCCCUUUCCUUUCCUUUCUCUCAGUUGUUGAUGUCUUUCCUGAGACUCUUGUGUAUCAAUCAUUUCUUCCAGACUUCCCCAGUCUGCUCCCCACACUAUCAGACUAUAUUUAUUAUCCUCACUGCCAUUUAAAAUACCAGACACGUUCCUAUUUCAUCACACUUUAAAGAUCUGGCUCCGCCCACUUCUCCCCGUUUCCCCGCCCCCUGUCACGAGCUCUAAGGUGUGGUCUGUUCUGUGGUGUUUUAAACUUUUAUCAACUGCUCAGCUGAGGUUUAAGGUCUAAAACUAAAAAAUAAAGUUCGGCUGUACUGAGUUCAUGACUUUAACUGAGGGAGAGAGAGCAGAAGAGACACACACACACACACAGAAUGAGUGAGAGAGAAGAAUUGCUUCUCACUUGCAAAACACCGGAGCAAGUCCACAACAGAAUGGCUUCAGGAAAACAAAAUCUGCCUUUGGAGGGGCGGAGUCUGAGCCCAGACCUCUACCCAAUAGAGAUGCUAUGGAAUGACGUGAAGAGAGCCGUACACACGAGACGUCCAAAGAACAUGACCGAGCUAAAACAGUUCUGCAGGAAGAACGGGAUAAAACUCCUCCUGAACGAUGUGCAGGUCUGAUCCACAGCUACAGGAAGUGCCUGGUUGAGGUUAUUGCUGCCAAGCGGGGGGUCAACCAGUUAUUAAUUCUAAGGGUUCACUUACUUUUUCCACUGCCAUUUUGAAUGUUGAAUGAGCGUGUUCAAUAAAGACAUGAGGAUCAGGAUUUAUUUUGUGUUAUUAUUUUAGGCACAUUAUAUUUGUCAAUACCCCUGACUUAGAUGAAGAUCAGAUCACAUUUUAUGACAAAUUUAUUCAGAAAACCAUGAAAUUCCAACGGGUUCACAUACUUUUUCUUGUGUGUGUGUGUAUGUAUGUAUGUAUGUAUAUGUGUGUGUG